RNAcentral lists this microRNA precursor (125 nucleotides) under Hordeum vulgare. RNAcentral describes it as "microRNA MIR1122". It matches the Rfam family "MIR1120/MIR1122 microRNA precursor family". Lineage: Eukaryota; Viridiplantae; Streptophyta; Magnoliopsida; Poales; Poaceae. The record is from RNAcentral.
CAUAUACUCUCUUCGUCCGGAAAUACUAGCCCGAAGAAUGGAUGUAUCUAGAUGUAUUUUAGUUUUAGAUACAUCCAUUUUAAUCAAUCUUUACGACAGGUAAUUUGGGAUGGAGAAAGUAUAUC